This is a long non-coding RNA of Pomacea canaliculata, 5434 nucleotides long. RefSeq lists it as uncharacterized. The record is from RefSeq and is a predicted model, not a curated record. The transcript is spliced from 3 exons. Lineage: Eukaryota; Metazoa; Mollusca; Gastropoda; Architaenioglossa; Ampullariidae.
UCCUGCCUAGGGGAAGAGAUUACUCCUCGCCAUAAGACGAACUAAUGGCACGAAGCAACCAUGAAUGCCGCGGUCGUUUUAGAGUCAGAAGAUUUUAUGACAGAAUUCCUCUAUCUCUUCACCUCUUCAGCUCAUGAUGUAGCCCUGAAAUGGCAAAUUACUCUAGACCGCAUCUGCAUUUGCACAGAAAAUCCUGACAAUCCUGUAAAUGCCAACGCACGUGUCGACAGAUUGAAUUUUCUGUGUCACGGUUCCAUGAUAAUCGACGUACCAUCGAAACUCUUCAUAGGAUGUUCCGGAUGACCUCGAGGAUUGGAUUCCCCCACAUCUCUCACAAGAAUAGACUCAUUUGCCACCUUGAAGAUGCUUGCCGAUAAAUCAUUCUACAGCAUGGCAAGGGAUUGUCACACAGAUGUGUUAUGCAUGUCUGAAAAGUUGUCAUGUACAUGUAGACAUAAUUAGAUGGUCACAAAGGAGCGUAUUUCACUAGCAAGCUUUGAGCUGUGUGCAUACAAAUCCCUUACCAGUACUGACAAGUUAUGUUGGUAACUGUUGUCAUCGGAAAUGGACUCAGUAGCUGUUAUUGGCGGCAAGACUCCAUACUAAGGCCAGUGGUGAACAAGCCUGCAUAUAAUCAGUAGUCCACUCCUUUAUGCUUGCCAAACAGUUCUUCCUUUGUCCACCUUAGUGCCAUACCUCUGCAAGUUACCCUGAAGGAUGGACAAAGUGUCAAGGUCAGUCCAACUUCACAGUUGCAGAAAAGACUUCCUGUGCCCAGUGAGGGUGAUGACUGUGAGAGCAGGGAUACCAGGUGUUGUUAGUGCUUUUGAUGUCCUUGGAACAAGAUUUCCAAACUAAGGAAACUACAUCUGGCAUAAAGGCUAUCCUGCCAUGCACCUACAGGUUGUCUGCAACAGAGCUACAAUUUCCUUAUGUCCACACUGACAGUGUGGGGGUCAGUCCAUGACAGUUAUUAAUUAAUUUUUUUUUUUUUAUCUCUUAUUUCUCUGUUGUAACAAUAUUUCCUCCUUUUGAUUUGAGUGUUAACUCUGGCAGAUAUACUUUACGUACUUUAUUCUUUAGCUUAAGCUACAAGUCCAAGUGAUAUACAAUUAUCGAAAGCAUUUUGUUUCUUUUGGUAAAGGUGUAAAACAUGUUCAGAUCUGAUCAUCCAUGGCCUGUUAUUAAUACAGUGUAUUCUAUAUACAUGUUGAAUGAAAAUAACUACUCUAACUCAUUUACAAUCUAGGGCUAAGUUUGAGGAUGUUAUCCAGAAAGAAAUUUGCGCUACUUAAAAAAAAUAUGAUCACUCAACUGAAGAAGAUAAAAGAAUCAAAUUGUUAACAAAAGAUCACAUUGUGUAGAAAUCAAGUAUUCCAGCUGUCGCGUAAUGCGAUCGGUCGUCGCAGGACUUGCUCUCACAGGCACACUAGCAAUCACACAGACUUUCAUGCGCCCGACGCAAGCAACGAAGCCAAUCACUCCUCAGUUGACACAAAACACAUACACUUGAAUUUAUUGGCGGUCACAAAGUACGACUCAUCAGCUCAAAAAAAAAAAAAGUAGAAGAAAAUAACCAUUACAACAAACUACAAAGUAAAGCAAAUGGAGGAGAGCCCCUCUACUGAUAAGAGAAUGAUUGAACACACAAACGUUUUGGACAUGCACAUCCCCCCACCCACCCCCAAAACAGACCUCGAAUGUGGAUGGCUUGCUCGCCAGUCCCAACCACCUGCUCAGAUACUUCUUCGUACAUGCCACGUAUAUUCGAGAACGUCUCCCCGCGCUUGUCGGGUAACGGGACCGGCGUUGCGGGACUUGCUCUCUCACAGCCACACUCGCAAACACACAAACUUCCACGCGCCCGACGCGAGCGACAAGACCAAUCACUCCUCAGUGGACACAAAACACUCACACGAAGUCACAAUACGAGACUAAAAUUUAUUGGCGUUGCAGAGUGCGACCACCAACUCCCCUCCCAAAGAGAGAGAGGGAGAGUGAUGUCCCUUCAUAUAACUGGCUAGAUGGUGUCAGCUCUUCAGCACACUUCGUCUUUACCCGUUUAUCUGCGUCAGUUUUUGUGUACCAAUGCUCAGUGAAUCUGUGAUAUCAUUAUCAAUUUUUUCUGGAUUGGUUGCUGUGUCUUCGCAACUUCUUUCAAUUUUCUAGAGCAUUUUAUUUCAACUAUAACGUCCACGCCAUCUUUUAGAUCUGUGCAUCAUCUGAUAAUUUGUGCCUGUGGUGUUAUUGGUUUGUGGGUAUUUUGAGUGGUGGCAUUCAAUAAACUCUCCAGCCAGACCACGCACAAGAGACAUCUUGUAGGUUCCCGCUCAAGUAUAUUCAACCAAAACGGAACUAAACCUUUUACGGAUUUUUACAUUUUCGGAAUAAGGCCAACACUUGCCUUAUGUCACAUCUCCCUUUCUUUAGUUAAAAUGGACAUUAAUGUUUCAACCUAACUUAAUUAACAUUAAUUUUAGCCUGUAUCUUCCACGCCUAACUUUCUUGCUACAAUUCUAAAAUUACAACUGCACUACGAUAAGCUGAAUCUUCUUUAUCAAGGCGCGUAGCUACCUCAUAGUUCUGCCACUGACGAAGAAAUUUUUUCCAAUUUGCUUCAAUGUUAGAAGACAAAUCCAUCUUUGAGGGAACCGGAACAUUUGCAGUGAAAUGUUUUCUCUGGUGUGUCUCUGUCAUGUUGCUGGCGUCCAACAAAAAAAAAAAACCGAAGUAACCAACGUUCUUGAAGUGGCGUACACGAAUGUUUGUACUAAGCACGGCAAGUCAAAACUUAUGUAGAGUACACAAAACUUUGAAUCAUCCAACUGCACACUAUAAAGACAUGCUGUGAGAAAUGUCACAUUGCAAACUGGAACGUACUGCGCAAUAUUUCGAAAUGGGAAAAUAACUUGCCUACCUGAGAGUUUCUGGAGAAAUCACAUGGCUAGCACUUUGCUGCUCACUUCUGACACCAUGUGGUAUUAUUGGUAUUAUUAUUCAAUAAACUCUCCAGUGAGACCACGCACAAUAGACGUCUUCUUGUAGGCUUAAGAGCAUACAACUACAAAGUAAAGCAAAUGGAGGAGAGCCCCUCUACUGAUAAGAGAAUGAUUGAACACACACAAACGUUUUGGACAUGCACAUCCCCCUAUCCACCCCCAAAACAGACCUCGAAUGUGGAUGGCUCGCUCGCCUGUCCCAACCACCUGCUCAGAUACUUCUUCGUACAUGCCACGUAUUUUCGAGAACGUCUCCCCGCGCUUGUCGGCUAACGGGGCCGGCAUCGCGGGACUUGCUCUCUCACAGCCACACUCGCAAACACACAAACUUCCACGCGCCCGACGCGAGCGACAAGACCAAUCACUCCUCAGUGGACACAAAACACUCACACGAAGUCACAAUAUGAGACUAAAAUUUAUUGGCGUCGCAGAGUGCGACCACCAACUCCCCUCCCAAAGAGGGAGAGUGAUGUCCCUUCAUAUAACUGGCUAGAUGGUGUCAGCUCUUCAGCACACUUCGUCUUUACCCGUUUAUCUGCGUCAGUUUUUGUGUACCAAUGCUCUGUGAUAUCAUUAUCAAUUUUUUUCUGGAUUGGUUGCUGUAUCUUCGCAACUUCUUUCAAUUUUCUAGAGCAUUUUAUUUCAACUAUAACGUCCACGCCAUCUUGCCAUCUUUUAGAUCUGUGCAUCAUCUGAUUAUAUUUGUGCCCACAGACAAUUGUAACUUUUUCAGUACUGCCGAUCAUUGCAGUUUUCCACUUUCUGAUUUGUGGACCUGUGUUUUAUCGUUGCUGCAAACUAGAUCUUGGAUCUUUACGUUUCAACGAUGUCGCCAAUGAUCAGUGCAUUUUGCCAUGGAUACGUGGUUUAAUGUCGUCCUGCUUAUAUUUUAAAGCUGCUGUCACGUUCGCUUCUCAAGGUGCCUGGAUACUCAACUUUGCGUCCCUAAAACUUGAAGUGAAGUAUUCCGACGAAUCUUUCUUCGCCUUUUCUUGAUUGUGGGAGAGCUGAAAUGUUGCUUUGCGUAACGCCGUUUUACCAUGAACUUGUAUUGCUGGACAACUGACAGACGAUUUUUUUCCCACUUGGCUACUGAAAAGAGACAUGCUAUCCCAAGUGAUAUUUCUACAGAUAGUGCAGAUGAGGUGAGAGACAGUAUUGACGGGGCCUGGCCCCGUUUCCUAGUGGUGGAAGGUGCAAAGCAGGCCCGGCCUCUCUCGUCCCUUUCCCCUUUUGCCAUAGUGAAAGGUUUUAAAAACAUCUCAAACAAUUUUUCUGCUAUAAAACGUUUGCGAUGGACAAUUUCUUGUCCAGUGCGCAAAUCAAACAGCUUCUGAAGCUCUCCGCCGAUGGGACGGGAAACAAUUUGUUGAUCGGCCCAUAAAGGUCAUUCCACACCGAUCCCUCAACUCCUCGAAGGGGGUCAUUCGUUGCCCUGACCUUGCUGGGAUGACAGAGACUGACAUCAGGUCCGAAUUGGCUUCUCAGGGGGUUUCAGCGGGACAAAGAGUCGCACUAAGGAAGGACGGGAAAUCUAUCCCUACCAACACUUUAUUCCUAACAUUCUGUCCACCCAAAAUACCCGACUUCAUUGAGGUUGGGUAUUUACGGGUUAAAGUUUCUAUCUUUAUUCCCUCUCCAUUGCGCUGCUUCAACUGCCAGCGUUAUGGACACGGGGCUAGCUUCUGCAAGUCCCAGGCCCGCUGCUUUCGCUGCAGUGGUACCGGCCAUGCGGCAGCUAAUUGCUCUUCAAGCGCAAAGUGUGCAAACUGUGAUGGAUCACACAUCGCAUCGUCUAAAGACUGCCCGAAGUGGAAGGAAGAGGUAGUCAUUCAACGUGUACGUGCGGAAUCUGGCGUCUCGUACGCUGAUGCUUGCCGUAGUGGGUGACUCCUCAGGAAUGCCUUCUAUUUCAAGUUCCAUGUCUUACUCAGCAGCAGUCAUAAAUGGACCAUCUACCUCUGUAUUCAUCCAGACUAUGACAUGGGUAUCUUCAGAAGGUCCUGUCCCUAUAUCUCAGUUUAUGCCUCCUCCUACAAGCUGUGGUGGCACCCAGUCAUCACAGAAAUCUCAAGCCACACAAGCAUCACAGUCGAAGCAUUCCCCUUCACCAAUCAGAAACUUCCCGCCAACGAACACGCAACACAAAAUCGCCAAAAAACAAGAAUACCACACCUCAGACAGACAAGAACAAAACAAAAAUUACCAAAAACACCCAUUACAUCUAGGACCACCACAGUAGCACCUAUCCCUAUUCUAAAUCGUUAUACUCCUCUUGGCGAGCAUGAGAUAGAUAUGUAUGAGCAACGCUUAAUGUCGCAUUCUCCAUCCCGCCGUCCCCUGCCUUCAUCCGCUUCUUCUUCAAUUACUAUGGAGCGGUCUACAUCCCUUCAGCCGUGAUAUAGUCAUAGUUGCUAGCACGGCAUAAAACAAAA